Molecule: long non-coding RNA, 379 nt
Filed under: Mytilus galloprovincialis (Mediterranean mussel)
Lineage: Eukaryota; Metazoa; Mollusca; Bivalvia; Mytilida; Mytilidae
Source: RNAcentral
AAAAUGGUAAAAAGUCAUGUGACAUAAUGAUGUCUUAUUUCGGCUGUUUUAUUUGUUUUGGCUGUUGAAAUUAUGACCAAGAGAUCAAGGAACAAUAAAAAGGAAUAGAUAUAAAACUAGAUGAAAAAAGUCAUAGUAUUUUAAAAGAUUUCGAUCAUAAUUAGCGUACGACACAAAGCUUUUUUGGAUACAAACGAUGUGCUAAAUUAAUGCAAAGAACGAGAUAAAAUGUUUUGGAUACAAACGAUGUGCUAAAUAAAUGCAAAGAACGAGAUAAAAUGUUUUGGAUACAAACGAUGUGCUAAAUUAAUGCAAAGAACGAGAUAGAAUGUUUUGGAUACAAACGAUGUGCUAAAGUAAUGCAAAGAACGAGAUAAAA